UUUCCUGGAAAAUACAGCGGCGGCUGCGUGUUCCAUUUUGCAAAAAAAUAAAAGAAAAAGAGAGACGUCUGGUAACAAAAAUGGCCAUCAUCGGGGGUUUUCUUGAAUACGGACCCGAGAAUAAUCGGUAAUGGUGGUUAUCGUCAGCAUUUAUUAUAAUUUCUUAGCAAUCAUGUUAACUUUAUAUUAUCCCCUUUGUUGAUAAAAAA
This is a long non-coding RNA of Sitophilus oryzae (rice weevil), 209 nucleotides long. RefSeq lists it as uncharacterized. The transcript has 2 exons. The record is from RefSeq and is a predicted model, not a curated record. NCBI's taxonomy places the organism in Eukaryota, Metazoa, Arthropoda, Insecta, Coleoptera, Curculionidae.